CAAAUAGUGCUUGAUCAAGGCUCUUGUUUUCAAGAUACUCAUAGACAAGUGAUCGGUUUACUCCUUCAAUGCAGCACCCAUACAAUUUCACAAGGUUACGAUGCUGCACAGCUGAUAUGGUUUUAAUCUCUGUUACAAACUGAUUCUUUCCUUGGUGCGAUGAUACAGAUAGUUGCUUUACAGCAACAACUCUUCCAUCAGAAAGUGUCCCCUAACGAAUUGAAUAUAUAUAUAAAAAAAAAAAGAAUGAUUGAGAAAAAUCCCAUGUUUGUAAUCAUACUCAUAAUCAUAAAAAAAUAUAUAAGCUCAACAGGAUAAUGACCUACCUUAUAGACAGGUCCAAAUCCACCCUCUCCAAGCUUAUUAGAAGGACUGAAGUCUCCAGUGGCAUUUUUUAGUUCAGCAUAACUAAAAGUGUAUGGCCUAGCCUCCAUACCUAGGAGCUCUGCAAAUUCCAAACAAAGCACAAUCAAUUGUGAAUCUGUUCACUGAUUUCUUACCUAAUCAACAUGUCUUUGCAAAUGCAAAAUUAUCUUUGACAACUGGAUGUUGAUCUGCAAGAACUUGUAUAUUCUUUGGCAAGAUGUUUGGAUGCCUCUUUUUAACAUGCAUCAGAAUACACGUUAUUGCAAAAUAUUUUAAUUCUAGAACUGAUCUUUAGCUUAAAUGUAGUUCAAUAGGAGUUAAAUAGAUAGAAGUAACUAAUGUCCCUCUCUAACCGUCAAAAAACAAGUGGGUUCUUUAAACUGCCUUUUAUCUCCGACUUUUGGUAUAAAAAAAAAAAUGUUCCACAAAGACAGCAGUGGUUUACACCUCUGUUUUAUAUCUAAAACGAUAAUUAGAAAAGAAAAAAAAAACAUAGGUAUACACUAGAUGUUAAAUGUCCUAUGCAAGCAUCUAUACACCAACACCAGUGAAAACAUGAAAAAGCACUUGCAAAUAACGGGCAUCUAUACACCAACACUAGGGAAAACAAGAAAAAGUACUUGCAAAUAACGUCAAAGUGGGCUUUGAAACCCAAUUCAGAAGUCAGAGCACCAACAAUAUGAACACAACAUAACGUUUUGCAUUACCUUCGUCUUGGUUUUCAUAUGGCUUUUUUCUUCUUAGAACGAAAUAAUAAACAGAGAAAACAGCUAGAAAGCACACAAGUCCAAGGGCAACAGCAAUUCCAACUAUCAAACCAGUCCUAUGCUUCUUCCCAUUUGGAGCAGUGUUAGGCACAGUAGGCUCAAAAUCUGUGUAAAUUUAGCAAUCAUUCAGUAUCAGUAUGAAAGUAGAUCAACAUUUUAGUUACUGAUUUGCAUCAAAUAGUUUCUAAUUACAUUACUUGGGGUAGCACUGAUUGCUGAAAUAGAAGGUCCAUAUGUCCCUUGAGCAGGUACACAGCAAGUCCCUUUUCCAGCCCAAAAGAGAUGGAUUUCAAUGUAAUUUUCCAAUACCUGAGCUGUGAAUUCUUUCUUAACAGCUUGGAAAGAGACCCCCCCUGCCUCCUUUCUUAUGUCAAAAUCUUUUAAAAUUAAAUCUCCCUGGAAUAAAUGAAUUAAAACAUAGAUAAAAAAAAAAAAAAAAAAAAAAAAGGGAAACAUAUUGGAGAAUGUCUUCUUAGGAAUUUGGGAAUAGAAGAAUUCAUUUAAGUUUCAUUCAUUAUGCCACAACCUGAGAUUAUAUCAUGAAGGAAUCAGGAUAUUGAUGGUUGAGGGAACAUAUUUUGUAUAAGAAAGAAGCUGGAAUUUUCAUUCUAUAAUUGUUAUUGUUAAGAAAACUUUUAGGAGUUAUUCUCAAUAUUCUGGCACUUUAAGUACCUAUUGAAUCAAUAAAUCACCAAGAAAAAGAUAAAUAAAUAACAAUAAAUUGCAAUAUCAAGAUCUGUCGAAAUUUUUCAAAAUAAUUACAAAUUGAUUCGAAGUAAUGAUGAAUUACAACCUACUACUAGGAAAUAAUCACAAUGUUGGUUACUCUGAAGCUUGAGUUUAACAAAGAACAGUCAAAACACAGUUUCUUGCACAAGUCCUUGUUUCAAUACUAACCUGGAUAUAAAUAUCGAAGACACGCCUUCCAAGAGUCUUCCAAGAAUUUGAAUUAACAAUUGCUGUCUCUGCAAAUUGGAGGGUCAAAGUAUAGUUUCCAUUCUUAAGGCCUAAGCCAUAGUAUCUUAACGAUCCAGCAGAGAUCCUUGCUGUUUGGAACAGCUCUGAGUCUAAAGUAUUUGUGAAUAGAGAUGAGGACGUGCUUGUGUAAUUGUUGCUUCCGGAAAACUUUCCAACAUUGCUAAAUGCCCACCUGUUUGUGUCAGUCACAUAGUAUGUAGCUGGACCAAGAGUUUCACUAUCCCUCUCAAACACGAUCUGAUCAGAAGAUGUAAUCUGAGGACCACCACACUUGAUUGCGAAGUUGUAAUCUGUACACCAAUAUAAAAAGCAGCAUUUAUCAAAGUUAAAGAAGUGAUUUGAUUUUUUCACUAGACAAGUUAAAUUCACCUCUAUCCUUUUGUUUUUAAAUGAUUAUACUCAAGAAUAUUGACGAUUAAUGAAAUAAUUCAUACUUGAAGGAUGCAUAAAGUCAUUUUUCAAUGCUCAAAACUGACAUGAAUCAGCAGCAAACCUUCAUAUCUGUUUGAGUGGCAAUUCCAAAAAAAAAUUCUGACAUUUGUUACUUCAUAAUAUCAUUUUACAACUCUCUCAUCCCAAUUCACCCCUUAAAUUGAUAACCUGUGAAUUUUCCACUAAAGGAGAAACUUGUGCUAUGAUAUCUAUUACAAGGCUCUCCCUGGACCUAACUAAUCAAAUGUCUUGACCCACAAGAAACAAACCUCAUUAGUUUCCCUUUCUUGAGUCUUUGAACAAAUGUGUCCUGGAGAAAGAAUAAAACCCAAGGCAAGAACACCAAUCACUAGCAUGACUUGCCCAGUCUAGAUUAAAAUCGGCACUCGAGUAAAGAAACGAUUUUCCUACUCUUAACUCAACACAAGUUUAUAGAAAUGAGAAAUACAGUUUACAAUAUUGACUGUAUUCUUUUUGGUGACACUGAUACUAUAGUAUAUUUCUCUCCUUUUCAUGCCAUAAUACCUAAUAAUAUGUUCCACCACUGAAAUCAUGAAAAAGGGAAUGGUUCUGCAUUGAACUUACAAAUUCCGGAACCUCUAUUGCAAGGAAAAUUUUGUUGAAGGCAGUUCAAUCCUGAAGGAAGAACACUGUAAACACAAGAAGAAGAACAUACUUAGUUAAGCCAGAAAUGUAAUGAAAUUAUUGGAGCACCAUACAUUCACUAUUUUAGAAUAUUCUGCAAUUUUCAGACAUUAAGCAUUGAGAGAAAACAUUUGCAUAUUUUUAAUGAAUAAGCAUAUCUUCAUGGGUUAAAAUAUGGAAUUGAAAAAAUCACCUGCUGUUUGAACUGUCUAGUGUGAAGUUGUUGGCGACCAAAUUACUGCAUAUUCAACCCCAUAGAGAAUCAUAAAGUACAAUGUUAGUUUCAAUAUCAAUUGAUACAGAACAUAGCUCAUGUUACAAAAUGCAAGUUUCAUAUGAUCAUUGAAGAAGCAACGAAAUAUGCCAAACCUGAAAGCUGGUUGGUUAAAAUAUUACAGGCUUUACAGCAUUGCAAUUUGAAUAUCAAACUAGAAACUUUUGAGCUACAAAAUUUUGGAAAAUAAAUAAAUAGGAAGAAUAGGAUUUUCAAACAUACAGUUGUAAAUUCUCUUCAUCAACCCAAGAAGGAAAGCUCCCUGAUAGUCCAUUGUAUGACAAGUCACUGCAGGCAUAACAUAAUGGGAAUGUUAAGUAUAUAGUCCACCAACUGAUAGCCAAAAUUGUGGUCAGUCUUAAAUUUAGAUAUUGGAAAAUGUUAAUUUAGUCAGUGGAACUAUAUAAAAUUGGUCAAAUUGAGCUUAAAGCAGUGAUUUUUUCACACUACAAUAAUCUCAAUCCAGAAUCCUCAUGUAUGUUUCUCCAUUUUUCUUCAUAUGCAUAAAAUAUUUAAAUGAAAACAAUGGUACUGUACUAUUCUUCUGGGCUUGGUCUUUGAUCUGUUGCCCACAUCGUGACCCCUGAUAACCAUCUGUAUGCACCAUAAUUCUUUCAAACUAGCAAAAAUGACACCUAAACCUACAUAAUGCUACCUUACAUACUGAACGAGAUAUGAACGCUCAAACUUUUGAGAGGGGGAAAAACCAAAUCAAACAAAAGGAUAGACCUCAGGACUAAAAUUCUGUCCUAGGGGAACUUGAGGAAAAGAAAUUUUCUAAUAGAUUUGUAACUGAUGAAAAAGCAGGUACCACCUUCUUAUUGGAAGAAGUAGCUUUAAAUGUUUCACCUUCAUAGUUUAAUUUCAAAGACAUAACAUUAGAUACCACAUAUAAUUGAAGCAGAGGUCUUUUUUUUUUUUUUUUCUUCUCCAAAGUUGCUUCCACAUCACAAUACAAACAAUAUAUUUCAGCAGCUAGUAGGAUCCUGAUUCUUAUUUUAGUAUCACCACAUAUCGGCAGCUAGACUAGUUCUUAGUGCACAUUGGGAGAAGUACUAAAUGAUUUUUGGGGCCUACAAUAUAUAGAUCUUUAUUGUUUCACAUAAGAUAUUUUAGAAAUGAAACUUGCCAUUCAACAGAAUUCAUAGCCCUAGUCCCUAGACUUAGCAUAAUAAUGAAAUAAGGAAUGAAGAUAUUUGCUAGAUACAUCGAUUUUGAAUACAUUUUAAUGAUUACGGACAUAAAUAUGUUGAAUAUACUUACAUAUUGAGAAGAGAUGUACUUUUCAGUGAAGGUAGAGUACCAGUUAACUGAUUAUUUCCCAGGAACCUGAUAAAAAAGACAAUAAUACAUGCUUCACAAUGCGAAGGAAUAUCUCUUGGAAGCAUAUGAAAGAACUAAGGAGGCAGGGACCAUUACAAGUAAGUGAGUUGACUCAAAUUGAAGAGAGAUUCUGGAAGUUGUCCACUUAGAUUGUUGAAACUCAAAUCCCUGCAUAAAUAAUCCAAAGGCUAUAACAAAUAGGAAGUAGCUGUCAUUGAAAAAAUAAAUAUAGAUAAGAAAAAUGAUCUCCAUGUGGCUAAAACUAAUAAAAUCUCCGUCACCCCAGCUGAAUCAAACCAAGAAAAAUGGGCUUCUGUUGAUGGCUAACUUUUUUUUAAUGCAAUCACAAACAUGCUGAGCUCUACUUAGACCCUGGAUUAACUUACCUGGCAAGUAUUUACUCAUUUAGAAUUUACUAAAAUUAAUUGUAUUAUAGAUGGAUUGUUGGGUUGGUUCCUUGUGACUAUAAAAUGAGUUGUGCUCCAGAAAGUUGGUUGUUUUGGAGCCAAUCCUAAAUUUAACCUGACAUGUUGUUAAUGCACAAAAGCAACAACUAUAAUCGUGAAUAACUUACAGCUGAGUCAAACUUCCAUAUUCUCCAAUAUUUGAUGGAAUAGAAUCAGAGAUAUUAUUAUUCCUUAGUACUCUGCAAACAACAACCAUCUUGUUAUAUUGAAAUCCCAUAUCAGAAGCUUAAGAGCAAAAGGAAAAAACAAAAUCCAACUGUUUUAUAAGCUAGAAGCAUGUUGCCUUACAAGGUGCUUAGCAACUUCAUAUUCUUUAUAAAUUCCAGUGAAGAAGAGCUCGCAUUAGAUAUAUCACUUACUCUCCUGAAUUUUAUAUAGCACGAGAAAAGGUUAAUCAUACAGAUCUGCUACAUAUGAAUGGAAAUAACUGACAGAUUCUACACUUACAAAUCGGUCAAAGAGGUUAAAUUGGAAAAUGAUGAGGGGAUGGGACCUUCAAAAGAGUUCCCCUGAAGCCUCCUACAGAAACAGUUUGAAGAAGCAGAUUAUAACUAUGUGGAAGUACUCUAUAAAGUUGAAUAUCAUGGUAAAUAUGAAAGGAUCACAUCCCUUAAAAGAUGUACAGUUACUUUGAGUUUAUAGCAUAAAGUAAAUUCAGGCAUGUAAUCUAAGCAUAAGUGAAGGAAAAUAAUGAUUAAAAAACUGAUAACAUUGCCUUACAAGACAGUGAGCUUUGACCAAUUCCCAAUGAAAUCAGGUAUGUUUCCUGUGAGUUCAUUAUCUGACGCCCACCUGAGAGCCCCAAAAAUUCUUUUAGAAAAUUAUAUGAGGACACCUUUUUCUCAUCAAGAUAUAGUACAACAAUCCCAAAAUGUGCAGACAGAAGGCCAAGAAAACUCUUACACUAUAGUCAGGCUCUGUAGAUUAGCAAAUGUUGAAGGAAUCUCACCACUUACCCCAGAGCUAUCAAAGUAACUGUCAAGGUAAACAGCAUUCAUUAAUUUAAACAAUAUUGAAUUUCUUUUCCUUAAUACCAGCAAAACUUUUCUUCAAAGAUGAUCAGUCAAGUUAAUGAAAUAUGGUCAGUGUACCCUAGAAACAACUCAAAUUUUGUACCCAUGCAUGUGUAGACAAAUCUACCAACAAAAGCCAAGGAACUUCUGCAUUUUGUGUGAAGCAUAUCUCAAUAUUUGUUUGUACUCCUCUUUUAGAAUUAUACUACUUUUAGCCUUUGUGUUGUACUAAGUGAUCAACAAACCAAUAAUACCCCUUCAAAAUCAGCCAUAUGAUAGAAAGAGAUCUAUUCAUCAGUUGCAUCUGAAUCAAUCUAAACCUGUAAUAAUAAACCACUGAAAUUAGGUGGAAAUGAUAGAAAUAGUUACCCAUCCUCUACCUGACCUAAUUCAGAAGGAACUUCUAUUAGUUCAAACAGGUGCAAUUGUUUCCCAAACUUCUUACCAAAUUAUGGUGUGAACCAAGCAUUUAUUAACCUUUAAAAUCUCAUAAGAGGUGCAAGCACUUCAGCAGUUAUAGCUAACAAAAUGUGGCCUAUAAUUUUUCCCUUUCUUGCUUUUGGUGAAGAGCUAUAUAUGGAAAAACAGAGAGCAAAAAGAGAAGGAAGUUCCAGACCAGAAUCAUUGAAAGACCAAAUUUAUUAGUGCCAAAACCACCAGGUUCAAUUGACUUGAUAAUCAUGCGUAUGGAAAAACCUAAAACGAAACAAAGUAUGUCUCAUGGAAGAAGAAUGCUUCAUCCCUUUCCCAAAUUUUGAAAACAUUACCAUAGUGAAACCAUUGAUUGGUUAAACAAUAAUAACAUAUCCUGAACAUUUGUGGAAGCUACACUACUAAGAUCCUAUUAAGCUGUCACCCUAUCUACAGCAGCUGUCUUGUUUUUCCAUAUCAUAGGUUGUCAUCUAUGUGCUUAUUAGUUCAAACCAUGUCCAUUUUGUCAUCCUUCCCUCCACCUCAUAGUCCUUUCAAUUCAAACUGAACAUGUCUCUACUACUAUUGUUCUUCGGGUCUAUGUUUCACACAAACAACCAUCUCAACCAACUUUAUCUAAUCUUCUCCCCAAUAGGUAGUUGGUGCUACCCAUCUGACUGAAUAUGAUCAAUUUGCCGUACAUCCUUUUAUCACAAAUCAUCUUUAGCCUUAAUUUGGUGGUAGGUCUGAAAAAAUUGCAUUAGACCAAAAAAGAGAAAUAUCUCCAGUUCAACUAUAGCCCUACAAAUCCAUAGGCAAAUUCCUAUCUUUAUCAUCCUUCCUUACAUCUAACUAAGAUUACAAAAUGGUCAUUCCUCAAUAUAUUUUGAAUACCAAUCUUCAUUAUCAUCUCAUUUCCACUCCUUACCACAAAAACGGUAUUCCUCAUACCUUGUUUUGAUCUUGCUUGUUUGAAAGCCUAUAUAUAGUUCUAUAUCCCCAGCAUGUACAUUACUACAUUAUGACUAAAAAUCCCCUUCUAACCCUACCAAAUAUCUUAUGCCUGUAUUAUGCUGUUGAUCAUGACAAUAUAUUAGUUUGAUGCUAAAUUACAGUUGUCACAAAGGAUUAUCUUCUUUGGCUAGAAACAAUAGCACUGGAAACUCUCAAGAACCAUUUCCAAAAUGUGAGACCAAAUAACUAAUGUAACCUAACAAGAUUUUCAGCAUGUAUGAUAGACACAUGAUAAAAAAUCAAAAUUAUAUUAGAACUUACAGUUGCUCUAACUUCACCAAAUUCCCAAUCUCAGACGGCAGGGAACCAGAGAAGUUGUUUGUCCCAAAAGCACUGCAAAUUCAACAAAUAAAUGGCUUCAAGUUAACUCCGAUUGGUAAUAUUUUAAAGAUUAUCUUCUUAUAGGUUCAUAUCAUCAGCAAAAAGUACAUGAACAUGGUUUUUAUAACUUGACAAAGCAACACCUUGUUCUGACAUGGUGGCACCAAGCCAAUCAACAUGUGAAAUAUAAAGAAAAAAAAAAGUGGGGGGGGGGGGCAUGUAAAAGAGUUGGUAAGACUAGCAUCUUCCUAAAAUGAAAGUUAUAUGGUGUUGAACAGGGAAAUUUGGAUUGAAGAAUAGUACCCGAGGAUUACUAAAGAAACCUAGUAUAAGAGGAUGGAAAACUUACAAUGAUCGUAAAUCAGUAAGCUGUCCAAGUUCCUUAGGAAGCUCCCCUGAUAGUGCAUUAAUUCCCAGGCUCCUAACAACAUGAAAUUAAACACCAACAAAGAUACCAAUAAAUUUCAGUGUACUAGGAAAUUUCAAAUAAAAAUUUCUAGUGAUGGGCUUACAAGUACUGCAUGCUUGUUAGAUUGCCAAUGGAUGCAGACAGGGGACCUGUCAAAUAAUUUUGACCCAAAUUCCUGUUAAAAAAAAUGGAGAAAAGUAGUGUUACAAAUAACACAGAAUGCAAUUGGAACCCUAGUAAAACAUUUCAAUGGGUUGAUUUUCUGCAUUAAUAAUAUCAAAGAAAAUGAAGAGAUAAAAAUGCACAACCAUAACUACAAACAACGAAUAAGUGAAAUAUGAACUCAUACAGACUGGUGAGGAAAGUCAAAUUCCAUAGCUCAUCUGGGAUUACACCAACAACGUCCAAUGCAUAAACUUUCCUGUAAAGAAUCAUUAAAUUAAGUCUUUUAGUAUAUAGUAAAAGCUUAAGAAGCUCUAGAAGAUGAAAAAGACCCAGACAUGGAAUAUAGAUUUGAAGUGUUGGUUUAUGGGAACCAACUUGAAUGCUGUGGUCUAAGCAUCAGAUUGAGCCUCAAUGUCACUUGGGCAAUGACCACUAAAAACCAAAUAUCAAGCAGAAGGAUUGCAUUUAUAGGAAAUAUACCAACAAUGUUCAAAAUCAAACUGAGUAAUAUUCAACAAUCCAAGCACAAAAACAUGUACAUACAGUUGAGUGAUAUGGCAAGUAGAGGCAUUGUCGUAGGAACAAUCACAUUUGAUUCCAAAAUUAUAGUCAGCGCUAUCAAUGCUGGUCGAGUCAAUGGCAGCGCCGGUGCAUGGUUCCCCAAUUGUUCUCCAUUGGCUCGAUGCUGAGAUUCCCCAUUGUCGAAAUAUAGAAUUCAAAACUCUCACUGCAAUCAAAAUUCAAAAGCUAAGUACAAAUUUGGGGUUUUGAUCUUUCUCAUGUAAAAGUCAAUUGGUGCGGGUAGGAAGCCAUCAAACCCUUCCCAACAUGAGACUCCAGUGACUCACCAUGACCCUGUUGGACAACAAUUUACUUCAAAAUCAUUUCUUUAUAAGUGUUAAAAUCAAUUAUUUGUAAGUGUGGAUGCACAAACUUUUUAUAUCAAAUAUUGGAACAAAAAAAUCAAUCAAAUCAAUAUAAAUUAGCCAUAAUUUUAAUGGAAAACCGAAUCAAACCGAAUCAUUUAAGGUUUUUGUUUGAUUAGAUAUUUGUUAUCAGUUUUUGGCUUAACAACAAAACUCAUGCUGGGAUUUAGGCCCAAUUAAAUUUUAAAAUGGAUUUAUUUUAUUUUGAGUUUGUCUAUUGAUUUAGGUUUAGUUAAUCAAAUUGAUGUAAUCGAUUUUGCUUUUCAUUAAACCAAACUAAACAUUUUCACAAUCUAAAAACAAUCCAAUUUGAUCAAUAUGAAUUGAUUUUUGAUCUAAUUUGAAUAUUUGACUUACACUCCUAUAGUUUGUCACCUAAAAAAUUACAUAGAUGUACAUGUCAAGCUGUCAAGUUGAAUUUAUAUAUAUAGAAAUUAAUUUGAUUAAGUCCGUCCUAAUUCGAGUUAUUAAACAAUCUAACGGCUAACAGCAUAACAGUAUAACAGCUCCUAGAAUGCUUAUCAUUAAUCAAGUUUUGAGAUUUUUAAUCAAAAGCUAUGAGAGAGAGGUGAGACCACAAGAGAAAAAACUAAGAGAAAGAGAGGUGUAGGACUGACAGAAGGGCACCUUCAGACGGAUCAGUGGUAGCAUUGGCUUCAGUGGUUUGAGCAGCAGCUAUGUGAAAAAGCCCAGUCACAUAGACACUACACAAGGCAACAAAGACGCAGCUGACUGAUUGAACUCCGGGUACCAACUUCAUGAUCGACCUAUGACAACCGAUAACCGAGAGGGAAAGAGAAAAAGGGAGGCGCAAUCAGACAAAGGAGCAGAAAGUCUUAUGAAGCUCUCUCCUAUUAUAAUAAUAUCUCUGCAACUUUUUAAUCAUAGACACCUCCCGCAGAAAGUCCACCCCGCAGGCUUUUACACGGAGACGGGUACCCCAGAUUUCAAUGCUAAACAACGGUUUUGAAUGACAUUUUAAAAGUCAAAAUCUGUCUUUUUCUCCCCUUUUUUAUUAUUUUAUUUUCAUAUUUAAAAAGAAAUUGAUUAUGAGAUUAUAUUUCCUGAACUUUAGUGAAAAACCCACCUACUCAAUCAAUCAUUUAUUUAGAUGGGUAAAUUUUCUGAUUCUUAGAAAGAAAUCAAUUGUAUAUUUCCCAGUUGAAUGAUGAAACGAAAUUGAGCUUCAUGAUUUCAAUGAAUUAAAAACACAGUGUUGAGACGGAUGUGGACGGCUGUUACAGCAUCAGCGUUAGAUUGGUUAUGAGGAAAUGGGGGCGAAGGAGGCUGAGGAUCAACAUUCAGCUUCGGCUCUCAUGUUGUGGGCGACAGAGAAAGCGUUGUAGGAAGAGUGCAUGAGCUUCAAGUGUCAACUCUCUUAGACUGAUUCUUUCUUUGUUGGAGUCUCAGACUUAGUCUAAUCGAGGAGGAGCCUAUGUGGAACGAGUCAAGAGUUUGAGAGCUGCUAAGAAACUUAGGGAGGAUGUUAAUGGAGAACAUCAGAUUUCACAGAGAUAACCAGAAGGUUUUGGAAUCAUAAAAAAAUCUCUGUUAUGUGAGCUCUGUUAUUAUUUAUAUGCAAUCUAUACACUGAACUGGACAAGAAAAACUCUACUACUCUGCUACAGUUGGUUAGAGAUUAUAUUCUUUUAAAGUUGCUGAGUUGUAUUCUAACAGAUUAAGAUUAACCAAUUAACUGAACUAGCUAACUGAUUCUAACACUCCCUCUCAAGCUGAACGGGGGUAGAGUCACUGCCAGCUUGUUUUGAAGUUGUUCAAACCAUGCUUCUGAAAGUGGCUUAGUGGGCACAUCUGCAAUUUGCUCUUCAGUGGAAAUAUAUCUCAUGUCUAAACUCUUUAGGCAAUGCCUUUUCAGGGAACAAAUGCACAUCUAUCUUUAUAUGCUUUGUCCUAGCGUGAAACACAGGGUUGGAAGCUAAGUAACCUGCUCCAAUACUAUCUCACCAUAGUAUAGGGUGACCAACAAUUUUAAUUUCCAACUCAUGAAACGAAGACUGAAGCCAAAGAAUCUUAGUGGCAGCUUGAGCUAACGACCUGUAUCCUGAUUCUGUGUCAGAGCGAGCAACAACCUUUUGUUUCUUUAAGCUCCAUUGAAUCAAAUUUCCACCCAAGUACACACAAUAGCCACUAGUCGACCUUCGAUCAUCAAAGCUACUGGCCCAAUCUGCAUCUGCAAACCCUUCAAGAAAUAAACCUUUAGCUGGUUUGAAAUGUAAGCCAUAACCAACUAUUCCACAAAGAUAUCUAAGAACUCUCUUGCAAGCCUUCCAAUGAUCAAUGGUUGGAGCAUGUCAAAACAGACUUAGUUUAUUAACAGAAAAUGAGAUGUUUGGCCUGGUCAUAGUUGGAUAUUGUAAAGCACCAAUUGUGCUACAGUAUAGGGAAGGAUCUUCAAAUGGCUCUCCUUGUGAUAAAGACAAUUUAUUUCCAAAAAGCAUAGGAGUAGAAAUGUUCUUUGCUCCAUUCAUGCUAGUUUUAUUCGAUAAAUUUGUAAUAUACUUGGUCUGAGUGAGGUAGAGACCAGAAGAAUCUCGAUGAACUUCAAAACCAAGGAAGUAAUUCAAUGACCCAAGUGUCUUGAGGACAAACACCACCUAAGUCUUUAACCACUCGAUUGACCUUAGAAGCAUUAGUGCCUGUGAUUAGGAUGUCAUCAACAUACACUAGCAAAAUGAUAAGUGUGUUGCCUUUCUUGUGAAUAAAUAAGCUAGUGUCAGCUACAGAAUUUUGAAAUCCCCAGUCAAGUAAUGCAUUCUUUAGCUUGUCGAACCAAGCUCUUGGGGCUUAUUUUAAUCCAUACAAGGCAUUGUGUAACCUACAAACAUAACUUGGUUUGGCUACAUCAACAAAGCCUAUAGGUUGUGCCAUGUAUACCACCUCUCGCAAAUCACCAUUAAUAAAUGUAUUGUUGAUAUCAAUAUGUUGAAUGUCCCAACCCUUUAUUGCCAAUGUUAAAAUAACUCUAAUGGUAGAAGGCUUAACCAUAGGACUAAAAGUUUCAAAAUAGUCUAAAUCAGGUGUUUAUUGAAAACCCUUUGCCAUCAACCUCGCUUUAUAUCUUUGAAUGGUUCCAUCCGGUUUGUAUUUAACUCGAAACACCCAUUUAUUCUCAACCACAUUCAUUCUUGUUUAAUAAGGCACCAAACUCUAAGUCUUAUUGAUCAUAAGAGCUUUAUAUUCAUCCAUCAUUGCAAAUUUCCAGUUUGGAUCAUUUAGGGCCUAAGCAAUAUAAGUUGGUUCUGAUGGAGAUGAUGGCUUACAUGUUGGUGUUGUGGUAGUGGAGUUAAAGACCUUGGGUUUUUAGAUACCAUAUUUUGACCUUGUUUACAUGGGAUGAAUGGAGGUUGAAGGAGGAUUGGAUGAAGUAAAAGCAUAAAUAAGCUCAACAUUAGGUUUAGAUGCAGGGGAAGAAAUUCUAACAGUGGACGUAACAAAUUCUAUAUGCUGAUUGUGAGGAACCUGCUCAUAUGCAGGGACUUCUCUUGGAAUGGUUGCUUUAGUUAUUGUACCAAUUACACAAUCUGAAAAAUGAGAUGUAGUUGAAUGGAAGUUAUGAGAAUGAGUUGGAAUUACAAAAAGGAUUUGAGAUAAGAAUGUAUCAGGUUUGGAAGUAGAUGAGGAAAGGAAAAGACUAGUGGAAAAAGGAAAUUCACUCAUUAAAAUUAACAUUCCUUGCAAUGUAAAGACGACCAGAUGAAUGAAGGCACUUAUACCCUUUGUGGUUUGAACUAUAUCCCAGAAAGACAUAUUUGGAUGUGUGAACGUCAGAUUUAUGUUUGUUGUAAGGUUGGAGGAGCAGAUAGCAAGCACAACCAAAAGAUUUGAAUUAGGAAAUGGUAAUUUGUUUUUUGUUUAAACAAGACUUCUAAAGGUGAGAGGUGGUUGAGAACUAGAGUUGGAAGUUGGUUUAUCAAAUACACAACAGUUGAGAAUGAAUCCCACCAAUAUUGAAGAGGCCUAUGAGCUUGAGCUAAAAGAGUUAAGGCUACUUCAACUAUAUGUCUAUGUUUCCUCUUAGCUUUCCCAUUUUGUUGAUGUGUGUGGGGACAAGGGUGUCUAAAAGUUAUGCCUACCAUUACUACACUUUCCCGUUGCAUCCACUUUUGGUGCAUGAUUAUUGUAGACUCUCUACAUUUUUUGUAGCCCUAGUAAUCCACCCGUCAAGGAAUAUAUUAUAAACUGAGUUUUAUAACAUCUUGCCUACAUUGUAUAACAUCUCAACUACGGAGUGCACCUAAGGCGAGAUUUCUUUGGAUGUUGAAUCCUGGAGGCUGAACGUUGGUUCCCUUGUACACCGAGUUCAUCUUUGAGGCGGAUGGUUCUACUUUAAGGACGGUGUCUUGUCAUUGCUUAGCCAACUUAUUUCAAUAAGUAUUCAUUUUUCGUUUUUUUGAUUCUUGUUUGUUUGUGUUUGUGUUUGUUUGUUUUGGGUUAAGUCAAAUUUGUUUAUUGAUUAUAUCCUUGAACUAACAAGCAUCACCCAAGGUCAUCUUGGAAUCACUCAUGUUGUUGGCCUCUUCAUACCGCCUCCUUUAUUAACGUAUGAUUGUCCAUUAUAGUUGUUUGUUGUUUUUUUUUUAUUAUUAUUGUUGUCUUUGACACUUGGUGAUCAUACACAUUUUGGGCGUUUUCCUUAUGCACCACUUAUAUGUCAAAAGUAACAUGUAGAAAGUUAAGCGAGAGGCACACCACCUAGAAAUGCAAUCCUCUAUAUCAAGAUCAUUCUUUAAAUAACACCCUUAACAUCCAUGGAUUAUGAAUACCCAAUGAACUAUGUGAAGGGGAUCUAACUUUAAUUUUUUUUUUUUCUCAUUUUUAAUGAAAAAGAAAUUCCCUUUUUAGUUGGCGUCAUUUAUGAGAAAUUCCAAGUUUCUUUUUUAUGGAAGCACUGUAAUUUAAUUAUUUUAUUGACAAAUUUUCUACCGCAAGUCAUGAAUGAAUACUACAAAUACAAAAAUUACUCUAAUUUUUUUCACUAUAUAAAAGCUUUAACUUUCAUUUACCUCAAGUCAUGAAUGAAACUACAAAUAUAAAAAUUACUCUAAGUUUUCAUGUUAUAAAAGCUUUCACCUUCAUUUUCAUGAAGAAAACUAAAAACUUCAAGAGAAGUCCUUUUUAGAAGAAAAACUAUGUUCUAUCAUUUUCAAAGAUGAAGACACUUUGUCUUCUUUAUAUUUCUUCUAUAUAUAUAAUGACACUAUUUGGGUAAUUUUAAAACUCUUGUUUCCUUAUGAUUUUUCAUUUAUUGGGUUGGGUCACUUUGACACUUAACUCAUUUCCAUCACUCGUGCAAGAUGAAUUUAAAUAGCUUAAUCAAUAACAUCCAAAUCCAUCUUAUUUUGCUUUUGAAGGUCAUUCAUACAUAUUUCACUUUUAAGGGUCAUUUAUACAAACAAAUAGAUCAUGCAAUGAGCACAUCUACAAUUUAAGAGUUAUAAACUUAUAUACUUGUUAGAGAUAUAUAAUAGCUCAACCCCAAAAUUAAAGAGGAAAAAGUAGUAACCAUAUCUCACUCUACCCCCAAACUUAUUUAGUUAUGUUUUUAAUAGAUACACUUAGUCCCACAAAAUUUUAUACUCUAUAACAUUAUAAAUGUAUUCAUAAUUAUAUUAACUACAAUAACAAUAUAAUAGAUUGAUUGGAAAUAUAACUUGUCAAUAUUACUAAAAUAUUUUUCAUUUUGAGCUCAUGUCUUUUAGAUUCAAAUAAAUUGCUUAUCAAAUAUGUUUCAUAAGAAUAAAUUAUUUCAUUUUUAUUGAAAACAUAUCAAAAUAAUAAUAUUAGUUUAUCACCUUAAAACAUUGUUAGUUUAUCACCUUAAAACAUAGUCAAAAGCAAGAAUGAAAAUUUCUUAAAAUAUCGUGGAAAUUUCAACGAGAUUUUGUAUGUCAAACACUACCCAUGUGGUAAAUGGUGAAGAAAUGCCCACCAAACCCUUUUAAUAAAUUUUUCUAAGGAUUUGAUAAUUUUGGAUUUUCAUUUAAAUUUAGUGAUUUUCAUAUGGAUAUUUCAGUCAAGGCUUUGGUUAAGCCAAUUGGAGUUUGACUAGUCAAGGUCAAAGUUGAUAAAACUCCAAAAUAAAUGAGAGAUUGAGGCUCAAAUAAGGGUUUUCUUUUAUUUCGCACAAAAGAAAAAGGAGUUGAUAUAUAUAUAUAUAUAUAUAUAAACCAUUCAUAUUGGUGGGUCAUGGUCGUGUUUGUGUCAUAUCAAAACCUUGACAUUCUACUAUAUAGGUCAACUCAAACCCGACAUAAAUAAUAAUCGAGUUAAAAACAUAAAUCUAAAUACUAUUUAAUUAUUAGAUAGGUAAUACGCUGUGUAACCCCUUUAACCCAUUUAAUAAUUAGUCUCUCCUACUUAAUAAUCAAGUUGAGUUAUAUCUUUUAUUAUUCUAUAUUAUUAAUGUCUUAUCCAAACAUCUUUAUGUUAAAGAAAAUUAAAAUGAGUUAAAUAAGUUAAAUAGUUUAAUGUUGUAGUUAGGUUAAUCGACACAAUUAUUAAAUGAGUGAAUUCAAGUCGACUUUGUAUUAUAUAGGUUGAUUCAAAAACUAUCUCUUUAUUAAACAAAUUAUAUGAGUCGACACAAAUUUGACCCAAAACCAAUUAUACUCAACCCAAACCAUAAAAAAAACAUGUCAUUCUCAAGUCAUAUUAGUGAAUCAUAUCAAACUUUAUCACCCCUACUUUUUAAUACAUUCAAACCAAGUAUUUUAAAUCUAUUUUCAAGUUGUAUAAAAUUAUUGUUGAAAGUAACAAAUUAUAUAUAUUGAUUUUUUCCACAAAACAACUUUGAUAUAUGUUUUUUUUUUGUCAUCUUUUUGGAGUUUUUUUUCAAUAUUUUUAUAAGUUUCAAUUAAUUUACGUAUCACUAAGAUUUUUUUAAAAAUUCCGUUGCUAAUUUAUGAUAUUUUCUAUAUAUCCAUAAAAUCUACAUUAGAAAUAGAAAUAAAGGUUUAAGCAAACUUAGGAAUUUAAUAGAAAUAAACUUCUUUGAAAAUAUUAUCAAGAUAAAAUAUUUAUUAAAUUGAAAUUUUUAUAAAAAUCAAUAUUUUCAUCCUUGGUCAAAAGUACAAAGAAUAUUUAUAUGGACUAUUAUGAUUGUACUGAGACCUAAGGAUCUUACAUAGUGAGGAUAUAAAGAUUAAUUAGUCAUUUUUCUUAUCUGUCACAUUCCAACAUAUGUAGUAUGAAACACAUGUUAUGUUGGUUUUUAUUUACUUUGAAAGUAUAUGUCAAGUUUCCACCACAUGAACCUUAAUCUAAAACUCUAUACUAGUAGCUUGCAUAAGUUUCGCAUCUAUCGCUCUCCUUAAACCUUCUAUACUAAAACUCAAGUCUGAUUUAAAGAAAAAAAAAUGUAAUUAUAGUUUAUUAAAUUUGGUUAAGAUGUCAUUUAUGAUACACCUCAUAUUGAUAUAAUUAAUCAAGGUAACAAUAAUCAUCUUUAUAUAUUUUUCAUUUAUUUAUUACUGUGUCUCAUAAACACAUUGACUGAGAAGCUUGCUUAAGUGAGAGAGUCAACUUCUGCCUAAUGAUAUACUUUUAAGUGUAUAUUUGUGUAAACACCAAUUUCAUAUUUAAUAAGAUGAAUAACAAAUAUUCAUCUCAUUUUAUCAUGAAUAGAGUAUCAUACAUCCAAAUAAUAGUGAUCCCAUUACAUGUGAUAGAUAUAAGUAAUUUUAAAAAAAGAAAGAAAGAAAGAAAGAAAUCACUUUAACACUUGAUGAGGAAUUUUUAAUAAACUUAAAUAUCCAUAAAAAAAUAUAUAAAUAUUUAAAGUUUGACCCUUAAGUAAUCAAGUUGUAGCCCUAACGCAAAUUGAUGUCAUAUUUUCGGCAUUCGUGUGCUAAAGUCUUUACCCAUGCAAAUUAGUUUGAUUUGAAUGCAUAGUGGUAUCCAAGAUUUAACAUUUAAUUAAAACUGAAAUUAUAUUUAAUACUUACGCAAACAAGUCAUGACUUUAAUGUUGCGUGGUGUUGGACUUUCGACACUUAAUACAACUUAAGUGUUAAGGUCUUUACUCAUUCGAAUUAGCUUGACUUAGGUGUAUAGUGAUGUUUGAACUUUAAUAUUUAAUUAAAAUUGGAACCACACUUAAUACUUAUUGAUUACUACUCAAAAAGAAUACAUUUUAAAAAAUAAUUCUCAUGAAUUUCAUAUAUUUUGAGUAGUAAUUAUGCCUAACAUACCCAAUUAAUACAUUGUUGCCCUUGCAAGAGAUACUAAUUAUUUUUGUAAAGUUUUGGAGCUAUUUCAAGGUGAUAUUGAUGCAUUGAGUGACAAAAGAAAGAAAUGAAAUUGAAAAGGAAAAAUAAUCUUUUGAGGAAGAGGCAAUGUAAUUGGAUUGGGAUUUGGAGUCAAUUGGAGGUAGUUAAAGUGGAGUCAAAAGAAGAAAAUGAAGGAAGUACCAAAGAGGAGCUUAAAAAUCAUAUGGUGCAAUUUCGCAUGAUCAUGCGAAUAUUUUGCAUGAUUGUGCGAAAUGGACUAGAAGAGAGAUUUGUGCUAUAAGCUAAGGAGAAUUUGCAAGUUGAUUUCGCACGACCAUGCGAAAGUUUCGCACAAUCAUGUGAAAUGGUCCAAAAAGUUGUUGUUGUUACUCCUCUUAUUUCACAUGACCAUGUGAAAUUGCUAAGCUCCUGCGAAAUGAUCAUUUUGUUGUUAAACUCUAGAUUGCUUAAUAGAGAAACUUCUAGAAGACUUUUUAGAUGAUGUCAAGUGUCCACUUGACCUUGGCCUAUAAAUAGAAACUUGAAUUUCUCAUUAAAAAAAUAAUUUUAGACACUUUUGAUUGUAGAAUUUUCUAUAUUCUCUCUUAAUAGAAUUUUCUAUUUUUUCUCAUUUUCUCUUAUUUUCUCACUAGCCAAACAUGCCUUGUGAGACUAAAUCUCCAAGCAUGAGUGACUAAAUCUCAUUUUUCUCAAAGGAAUGAGGAUCUAGAGGCAAGAUCCAUGGUGAAUUAGAAAAAUAAGCUUUAAUUGUCAAAGUAAUUUGAUCCAAUUGAUUGAUUACUUGAAUUUUGAGGAUUUUUCUCUUCAAAUUAUCUUGAAUGACUAUUACAUUGCAAACUAAAUAGAUUCAUUAAUUUCUCAAAGCUAGAUUUAAUGAGAUCGAAUAGUUGCAUUGUAUGAAUCAUUGGAAGAUGAUUUAAGAUUAAUUGAAUAUAUAGUUUAAAUUGAUCUCUUGGAUUAAAUAGUCUAAUUUGAAGAGAAAUUAGGUCUAGACUUAAAGCUAAAUCUAAAAUCAGUUUAGAUGAGAAUUUAGGUUUUUAAUCUAACUUGAUGAAAAAUAGAUCUUUACAUCUAAUCACCAUGGAAAUUGUUUUUUAGAAAAUCCUAACUUCGAGAAUUCCUUUUCCUUCUUAAUUUUCUCUUAUUUUACAUUCUUUUGUUCUUCUCAAUUAGAAAUCAUUGUUAUUUUGAAUUUUCACCAUGAAUUGUCAAAUCAAUUUCACUUUAUCACAAUCAUUUCUUUUCCCUCAUUCAAGCCUUAAUUACCAAGAAUAAUCCAUCCUAAUGGACGACACUUAAAAACCAUUACACUAUGAAAGUUUGUAUUAAAACCAUUUUUUAUCAGGUACAAGCUAUUAUAGAAUAGUGAAUUAGCUUAUAAAUUGUGUUUUGAUGUGAUAAAAGAUGACAAAAUCAAUCAAUCACCUAUGUAAACAAGUUAUAACUUGGAUGCUACACAGUAUUGUACUUUUGGCACUUAAUGCAGCUUAAGUGCUAAGGUCUUUACUCAUGCAAAUUGGUUUGACUUGGAAGUGUAGUGAUGUCUAACUUCUCAAAACUUAAUUGAAAUUGGAACUACACUUAACAUUUAUGUAGGCAAGUCAUAACCUUGAUGAUGUGCAAUGUUGUACUUUUAACACUUAAUGCAACUUAAGUGCUAAAGUUUUCAGUCAUGCAAAUUGGUUUGACUUGGGUAUAUAGUGAUGUUUGAACUUUAACUUUUAAUUAAAAUUGGAACCACACUUAACACCUAUGUAGACAAGUCAUGGCUUUGAUGUUACGCAACAUUGUAGUUUUGGCACUUAAUGCAUCCUAAGUGCUAAGGUCUUCACUCAUGUGAAUUGGUUUGACUUAAAGUGAUACCUAUAUCUCAAAACUUCAUUAAAAUUGGAAUUACACUUACACCUAUGUAGGCAAGUCAUAACCUUGACAAUGCAUGCUAUUGUUACCUGCGACACUUAAUGUGGCUUCAGUGCUCAGAUUUUCACUCAUGCGAAUUAGCCUGACCCUGAUAUAUAGUGAUAUCCAACUUCGUAAUUUAAAUUAUACUCACAUUUUUUCUUUUCCUAUUCAUUUUUAUUUAUUUAUUUAUUUAUUUUGUGAUAGUAACUAAACUAAGGUGGUUUCCAUAAAUUGCCUACAUGCCUUUCAAAGAAAAUGGAUCAUGUCAAUCAUAGUUCAAUUUUUUUUUUUAAAUGUUCUAACUAUUACCAAGACUAAAAAUUAAUCUUACGAGCAUAUGUCAUAACUUUUGCCUAAGUCACUAUUUCAAGUUUUCAAUUUAGUGGAUUUUUUUUUUUUUUUUGUGUUGUAAACAGUUUAAGCUCAUGCAGGUCAUGAGCGAUAUGCAUUUUAGGCUCAUAAUUUAAGGAGCAUCACUUAUCUUGAUUUUGAUUAAAAAACAAUAAAUGCAUGUUCUUGGAACAAAGUUUAACUAAGGAUCAAAGUUGAUUUAUUUUUAACCAAACUUGUGAAGAUAUUUUUUAAGUAUUUUGGAAAACAAAAUAAGGAUUUUUGAAUAUAUCUUGAUUUUCAGCCUUGAAGGUGGAUGAAUAACACUUUUGUUUCAUGUUUGAUACUCUUUCAUAAGCUUGUUGAAGAAUGUACUGAGUUUAUACUUGAUUUUAAUCCAAUGAUGGUAAACAUGUGUUCUUCGAGUAAAGUUUAAUCGAGGGUCAAUGAUGACUUGAUCUCAAUUAAACUUAUCUAAAAUCUCCUUGAGUGUCCUGAAGAACCCGACUUUGUCUUCUUUGGCUUUGAAGAUGGAUGAAUGACACUUUUGAUAUUCUUCCAUGAGUUUGUUGAAGAAUAUUUGGAGUUUGAUCCUGUCUUUUAAAGCUUCAUUUUGUGGAUUUAGCUUUUGAGUUACAUCUUUCUUUUGAUAAUGCUUCAUGUUACAGAAAAACACUUACAUUUAGAGAAAUUGGAGAUUUAAAUUUAGAAUCUUUGAAUUUGACUUCUCUAAUGCAAAGAGUUUGUUCCUUAAUUAAAGAAGUUUGCUAAAAAAGAUUUUUUUUUUUUUUUUCCUUUGGCAUAAGUUUGAUUAUUUUUUUCUUUUUGUUACAAUUUAAGCUCUUAUAGGCUAGGAGCAAUAUGCAAUUUAGGCUCAUGCUUUAAGGAGCAACAAUGAAGUGCCAAGGUUUGAAAACAAAUGUAGUGAAAUUUGAUGACACACUCCCUUUAUAAUCGUUGGUGAUGUUUUUGCCCCCAUUGAUAUCAUCUUCAAGUUCUUCAAUAGACAUGUUUUCACUUACUUUUGUUUUUACAACAACCUUUAUGUCAUGUGCUCAUGUAGCCAACUCUUCGAAGGUGCGGGGUCAUAUCCCUUAGAGAAUGUACAAAAGACCCUAAUGCAUGCCUUGUAUGCACAUUUCCACACCCAACACCUUGGACAAUUUAUACUUGCAAUCAAGGUUUAAGGAACACCAAUGAUUGACGUGGUCAACAACUAGUUUGUCUUUCUAUUGUUUGGUAUUGGUAAGAUCCAUCAUGCUUAUAGUUCAUCGGGUGCUAUAGAAGCGGUUAGGGAAUUCACGCUCCAUUUGGUCCAAUUCUAGUUGGUGUUUAAUGGUGUUGUCUUGCAGCCGAGCUGGAACUUACGUAGGUGGAUGAAUGGGCUUAUGCAAGCCCAAUCCAAGUUGUUAGAGAUAUUCCACUCUUGGUCAGUUUUGAUUAGUUUUCAUCAUGGAUUAAAAUUUUGAAGGAAAUUGAUAAGAUAUUUUAAUGGAAAUACCUAGUUUGUUGGUUUUUUGGCAUGAUUUUAGAAAGCACUUAUAGUCAUUUGAUGAUGAAUAUAGAAAACACUUUUUGCCUAAAAAAUGUUUUUGAAAAAAAAAUUGGUGUAUGACAAAAAUUUAAGAAACACUUUUUAAAAUGUGAAAAAUUACUUGUAGUAUUAAAAAAUCACUUCUAGUGUUUUCUAAAGAAACAUUUGAUAGGUUAUUCUUCUAAAAACACUUCAAAAAAAAAAAAAAAAAACACUUCUACUAAAUACAUUUCGCAUAAAAAUACUGUCAAACAGACUUUUAGAGCGAGUUUGAGAAUGAUUUUAGAAAACGUUUCUAGUCUUUUUAAUACUUGAAUGAUAAAAAUUUUCAAGUAUUGAAAAGAUUAUAAACACUUUAUAGAAUCAGUACCAAACAGACUCUUAGUGUGAUUGGUUAUGAUUUAUUAAUUGUCAGCCUAAUCACUUCCAAUCACAUAUCCAAAAGAUACAUUCAGCUUAACUAGCUCAUUUCUGGUUUGUCCCAGCCUGAUCUCCCAUUGAUAUUUUUUCACCAAGUUAACCAGGGCACUAAAAGCCAUACAAUGUCUUGAUAGCAACUCAAAAAGCCACAGUGCAAAGUUCACCUUCAUGACUCCUAUAAACUGAAUAUAAGGUGCAUUUUUGGCCACUGCAUGGACCACUUCAUCACAUGAAUGAUGAGCAAAACAAAGCCCACAACUUCAACCAAAGUUCAUACAAAAACAUUCUAUACUAAAAGUACGAAAAUAUAAAGAACUGACUCGACAGGAACAACCUAUACAUACUUGUAUACUAUACACAUAUACAUGGAAAGAAAUCAAAGAAUUCAUCAGAGUUGUAUGAAACAGCAAAAAUCACACUAAAGCAGAAAAGAAACACUAUUUUUCACCUGCCCUCUCCGAUAAUCUCAUGAAUUUUCGUUUUAGUGGCAGUUACUGGAGAACGGUCUGCAUCAGCUGCCAUGCUGAUACUUGUUGAUGAGUUGAAAUGGCUAUUUUCACUCAUAAAGCUGGAUGCAUCGUUGAACUUCCAAUCUGUUAAGUAUCCGGGCUUUGUUGUAACUCUGGACACUUCAAUAUCUCCUGAAAGCAUUGCCACCGCACGGGACAUUGGUGGCCGUAGUGUUGGUGAUGUCUGAGUGCACAGAAGAGCGACUCCUAUCAUUCUUCUUGCUUCUUCUUCACUGAAUUCUGAUAACCUUGAGUCUACCAGUUCAAUUUCAUGGUUGUUUUCAUGUAGUUGCCAAGCCUAUAAAUAAGGAAAAGAACUAGUUCUUAGAUCCUAUUAAAUGUGAUAAGGGACUAAAUUCAAAUGAUAUCUGAACCAAAAUGGAAAGUUCCAAUUCCCACAAUCUGUCUAGAAAUGACCUUAACAUGUCCAAGAGAUCCAGUGAUGCCCAAUUUUCUUUAUAAAUUAUCAGGGAAUCAGAACAUGUAUGCUUAGGUAUGGAAUGGCCCUGAUCACUACGAGUACCAUGAUGAUUACUGGUAUGAAGACAUUUCACAGGAUAAAACAGAGUCCAAGGGGUAAAAAUAUCAUACCCAUUCAAGAAGAUAAGUCUUUUCUUCUUCCAAACUUGUGUCAGAAUUUGGCCUUCCACUGACAAUCUCUAGAGCUACUACACCAAAACCAAACACAUCGGCCUUUUCUGUGAGGUGCCCACGCAUGGCAUACUCCGGUGCAAGAUACCCACUACAUCAGUAACAUAAAAGCUCAGUUUUAAAGAUUAGAUGAUACACAAACAAAAAAAAAAAAAAAAUCCCAAAAAAGAGAAUAAAAAUGGGACUAAGGGCCUUGACUUUUGAGGAUCUUACAUUGUGCCUGCAACACGGGUGCUUAUGUGAGUCUUCGUGUCAUCAUACAGUUUGGCCAAACCAAAAUCUGAAAUCUUAGGGUUGCGAUGAUAGUCAAGCAGAAUAUUGCUGGCCUUCACAUCUCUGUGUACAAUGCGAACUCGCGAUUCCUCAUGAAGAUAGGCUAGACCCCUGGCUACACCCAAGCAUAUAUCAUAACGGGUUGGCCAAUCAAGGUCCAAACUUCCGUUUCCUGUUCAUGAAUAACAAGUAUAACUGUAUUCAUUGUGUUUUCUUCAUAAGAAAAUGUCAUGAUAGCUAGAGCUGCUAAGGUGCUACCCUUACCAAAUAGUGCUUGAUCAAGGCUCUUGUUUUCAAGAUACUCAUAGACAAGUGAUCGGUUUACUCCUUCAAUGCAGCACCCAUACAAUUUCACAAGGUUACGAUGUUGCACAGCUGAUAUGGUUGCAAUCUCUGCUACAAACUGCUUCUUUCCUUGGUGGGAUGCUACAGAUAGUUGCUUUACAGCAACAACUCUUCCAUCAGAAAGUGUCCCCUAACGAAUAUAAAAUUAUUGCAAAAAAAAAAAAAA
This 23890-nucleotide long non-coding RNA is filed under the name Vitis vinifera (wine grape). RNAcentral describes it as "long non-coding RNA (VVIN_LNC003834)". Lineage: Eukaryota; Viridiplantae; Streptophyta; Magnoliopsida; Vitales; Vitaceae. The record is from RNAcentral.